Long non-coding RNA from Oncorhynchus tshawytscha (Chinook salmon), 445 nucleotides. Lineage: Eukaryota; Metazoa; Chordata; Actinopteri; Salmoniformes; Salmonidae. The record is from Ensembl.
UUUUUUAAUAUCUCUCCUAGCUGUGCAGUUGAGGAACUAGAGCAGGCACACUGGGGGGUGAUUCUGUUUGGAACACAACCCUACAUCUCCUCUCCUAGCUUUGAGGAACUAGAGCAGGCACACUGGGGGGUGAUUCUGUUUGGAACACAUCCCUACAUCUCCUCUCCUAGCUGUGUAGUUGAGGAACUAGAGCAGGCACACUGGGGGGUGAUUCUGUUUGGAACACAUCCCUACAUCUCCUCUCCUAGCUGUGUAGUUGAGGAACUAGAGCAGGCACACUGGGGGGUGAUUCUGUUUGGAACACAACCCUACAUCUCCUCUCCUAGCUGUGAGGAACUAGAGCAGGCACACUGGGGGGUGAUUCUGUUUGGAACACAACCCUGCAUCUCCUCCAUCACACAAUUACUGUUGUUUUACUCAAGCCCAAAAACAGACCAUUUAUAAA